UUAUAUUUUAUGACAAUUUACCAUAUUUAAUCAGCUAUAGGAUUUACUGUUACUAUAGAAAGUUAUACACAUCUCUUCCUUCACCCACAGCCACCCCUGCCAGCUCCCCCAGAGUCUUGCAGUCCCCCAGCACCACCACCUCUGGCUUCCCCACCACCAGUACAGCCCCAGCAUGUAGUUCAGCAGCCCCCACAGCCCCCUCAACAGAUGGUUCAGCAGCCCCCACAGCUCCCUCAACAGAUGGUUCAACAACCCCACCAGGUUCCUCAACAGAUGGUUCAGCAGCCCCACCAGGUUCCUCAACAGAUGGUUCAGCAGCCCCACCAGGUUCCUCAACAGAUGGCUCAACAGCCCCCACAGCUCGCUCAACAGAUGGUUCAGCAGCCCCCCCAGGUCCCUCAGCACAUGGUUCAACAGCCCCCACAAGUUCCCCCACAUAUGACCCAGCAGCCCCCACAAGUUCCUCAGCAUAUGACACAGGCACACCUGGGUGUUCAGCAACAAUAUCAGCAGCAGCAGCCACAGCAACAGCAACAACAGUAUCAUCAACAGUAUCAACAACAGCAGCAUCAACACUAUCAGCACCAACAACAGCACCAACUGCAGCACCAACAACAGCACCAACAACAGCACCAACAACAGCACCAACAACAGCACCAACAACAGCACCAACAACAGCACCAACAGCAACAUCACCUCACUCAGCCAAACCCACAGAUUCACGUUCUUCGCGGGAACUCGCUGGAGAGCAGCCCAGGCCGUAGUGGGGACUCUGCAGUGGUGAUGGGGGAGGUGCCACGUAACUCCGAUUCCUCCUCCACCGCCUCCUCCGUCAGCCCACCUGAUAAGCGUUGCGACUCUGGCAUUCACUCCCAGGCAUCCUAUUCCUCAUCCUCAGCCUCGCACUCUAAAUCAGGAUCCUCAGGGUCAGAAAGCUGUGUGCCUAUCCCAGCGGCGGGACCUCCUCGCUGCUCCAGUGUGGAUGAUCUGUGCCGAACACAGCCUCCUCCACCACCUCCUGAGUCCUGUGUUAAGAGCCUCUCCUUGCAGAGGGGUGCUGUGCCUCCUACCGUACCUCCUUCAAAUCAUGGCACUGCCCCAACUACCACCACUACUACUGCUAACACUGUGCAAGGCAAGACAGGACGCUUGAAUAUUGAAGUGGUAGGUGGAGGCUAUGGCUUCCUGCCACCCUCUAAAUUUGUGGCUUCUGAGCCUGUUUACAGUGACGCUUCCACACCAGUGGUGAUCAAGCGACGGAGCUCAGUCACUGCCGUUGAGCCUGACACGCCUCCUUAUGAACGUUCUGGCUCCUCCUUUAGCACUUUCACAGAGCCUCAACUACCAAGAGCAGUUUUGAAAGGAAAUCCAUAUGCCGCCACCAAGUCCCAGACCGUGGCGGCGCAUGGACUCCGUGCACGACGGCUGCCUGCAGCCGACGCCAAGCAUGCUACCAUCGCCGGGGUUGUGCCCCCCAAGGGCUUCCACCAGCCGGGCCACAUCGACUCGCGCUACUUCUCUGUGCCCGCCGUCAAGCCGCCAGGUACCCGUGUGCACCCGGCGCCUACUCCCACCCUCUCCUAUCGCACCCCCUCCCUCCACUAACUCUCACGCCCCUGAUGUGCCCGUAAGAUUAUGAUUGGAAGCGAGUGUCCCAGAGGAGCAGGAGACUGGGUGAUGAAAGGGACUGGAGUGAUGGCGUAAGAGCAGCUAAGGUUACAUCACAACUACAACAAAUUAUCAACUAGGCUGGAUUAGAAAAUUGCAUCUAUGGAAAGUGAUUUGUUAAUGCCCAAAACUGAACAAAGUCUGUUACAAACAGCUUAAAAGUGACUUGUGUUAACUUUCACAAACUGUAGUCUGCAGUGUACAGUACCACUGAUUAACAUUAAUCACACUGUUGAUUCAAUGGAGUGUGGCAUCAACAUUUACGAAGUGGCCCGUGGCAAGCCACACUUGUUAAGAGGUACAUAUCUUGUAACCCAGCACACACUAGACAAAGGCUGAUAUUAGUGCAGGUACUGCAGAGACCUCAUGUAACCCAGCACACACUGGCUGAGGGCUGACUGCAGGUACUGCAAAGAGUUCGUGUAACCCAGCAUACACUGGAUGAGGGCUGACUGCAGGUACUGCAGAGAGGUUGUGUAACCCAGCAUACACUAGACGGGCUAACACUGGCGCAGGUGCUGUAGAAAUUGUGUAACCCAUUGGACAAGGGCUGAUGUUAGUACAGGUAAUGUGGAUACCAUUGUAACCCAGCACACACUAGAUGACAGCUAAUGUUAAUGCAGGUAAUGUGGCGACCUUGUGUAACCCAGUACACACUGGACAAGGACUGAUACUAGUGCAGGUAAUGGGAGACCUCACUUGUCACUUAAAAUGAUCAUCGACUCCAACAAUACACUACAGACCUGCAUCUCUCUCACUGAUCUUAACCAUUUACAAAUAUAAUUUGUUUAUGGUGAACUGUGAAAAAUAUUAGAUGCCUUACAGUGUUGGGUUGCUAAACUAGGCUCAAUGCAAAUCAUAUGUGAUGUACCAGAGAAAUACAUUUCAUAUUAAUAAGGCACUGCAGGUACAGGUAUUUUGCUAUAAAAGGCACAGUGAAGAUGUAUACAGAAUCAGCUCUACAAUAUAAAACCAUUAUAAAUUCUUCACUUUGUAUUGCAGUAUAAUACAGUAGGUGUAGAGCAAUACAGGGAUGAGAGCCAUUAAUGCUUGAUUAAAGGACUUUUCUGGAAAAAAGGCAUUGAAAUGUUUUGAUACUUGAUAUUAGUGAUAGAAUACCCCCACCACACCCAAAAAAAAAAAAAGAAUUUAGAUGAAAUUGAUACCCUCAAAAAUUCUUCCACUCUUUAAUGAAAAUAAAAUGGCAG
This is a non-coding RNA of Cherax quadricarinatus, 2876 nucleotides long. The record is from RefSeq and is a predicted model, not a curated record. Lineage: Eukaryota; Metazoa; Arthropoda; Malacostraca; Decapoda; Parastacidae.